UACGUAGGGGGCAAGCGUUGUCCGGAAUCAUUGGGCGUAAAGAGCGUGUAGGCGGCCCGAUAAGUCCGCCGUGAAAGUCCAGGGCUCAACCCUGGAAUGCCGGUGGAUGCUGUCGGGCUAGAGUCCGGAAGGGGCGAGUGGAAUUCCUGGUGUAGCGGUGAAUGCGCAGAUAAUCAGGAGGAACACCGAUGGCGAAGGCAGCUCGCUGGGACGGUACUGACGCUGAGACGCGAAAGCGUGGGGAGCAAACAGG
Molecule: ribosomal RNA, 253 nt
Filed under: uncultured bacterium
Lineage: Bacteria
Description: partial 16S ribosomal RNA
Rfam family: Bacterial small subunit ribosomal RNA
Source: RNAcentral